This 52-nucleotide transfer RNA is filed under the name Aegista diversifamilia. Its description in RNAcentral is "tRNA-Ser". Lineage: Eukaryota; Metazoa; Mollusca; Gastropoda; Stylommatophora; Camaenidae. The record is from RNAcentral.
AAGGAGUAAAUUGUGGCUGCUAACUAUGAUUUGGGGGAAACUCCACUCUUUU